This is a long non-coding RNA of Odocoileus virginianus texanus, 633 nucleotides long. RefSeq lists it as uncharacterized. The record is from RefSeq and is a predicted model, not a curated record. Lineage: Eukaryota; Metazoa; Chordata; Mammalia; Artiodactyla; Cervidae.
UAGAAAGAGCAGAUUGCAUAAAAGGAUCACCAGCCAAGCAGGGUAUCAGAAGACGAUGUCUAUGUAACCAAGGUCUUAGGAUUAACUGCUGUUUGAUCACUAUGUGUCCUGCCAAGAAACUCAUCCUGUAAGAAGUGGGAAGAAUUCACAACCUCUCCAACACCGGGGACACCAUCAGCUUCUCUAGAAGAAGUUUGACAAAGGUCAGAAAGAUGAAGGGGAUGUUUCUGACUCUUCUGCUUAGUCUGGCUUGGUCAGCACAGGAAGCUCCAGCUGAGACAGAAGCCUCAGAGAUUACAGGAGACUGAAACACCAUUUACCGUGCUGUGGAUAACAAGGAGAAGAUUCAGCAAGGAGGCCCACUGAGGGCAUAUAUCUGUCACUUUGAAUGUAUCAACAACUGCGAACAACUCUCCAUUACUUUUUACGUCAAGGUUUACUAUAACUGCGUGUUACUCACAGUAGUGGCAAAUAGAGAAGAAGGAGAUGUUUAUGUCGUAAACUGAGCAGGUAGGCUACCAGAUAAUGGGAUCCUGGGACAACCAGAGUUCUAGAACCUUCUAGGGGUGAGCCAGAAGCAGUGAGAGGAGCAACAAAGGAACUGUAAUGAAUAUCUCGUAUCAAAUCUAUAAU